UGUAUUUCUUAAAAGCUCCCAUGUAUUGAUCCUGCCAGUCUGGACACACUUUCAAGUAGAAAAAUAAGACCUUCACUGUUGUCUACUAACCAUGAAAGUGAGGCUCAAAAAGUAAUUGGCUUAAGGCUGCAUAGUAAGUAUUAGCCAAAUCUGAUUUCAAGACUAUAAUUUUGUCAUCUACGUAAUCCUACCUCAUCCACACUACAGCACCUACUUAGAAGAUUGUUGUGAAGAUAAACUUGUAGUUUAUAUGAUAAGGAAGAAUGCUUAUUACUUCAGUUAAGGAUUUCCAACUGGAAUUGGGAAGCUACAUUUACACCAAAAGCCAAACACUGAUCAGACCUCCACAGAAUUAAGGAUCACUGCAAUGGUCCUGAAAGACUUGUACGUGAUCACCAUGAACACAGUGGUUUUUGCUGCUUUCCUUUCUGUUGGCCCUGAGCCAGCAGGUCUGGAUUCCUAACAGCAGUUACUUUGCUGUUUUGUCUGGGACAGCAAGAGGAGAAUGUUCCCAAUAUGGAACAGAGACAGGUUGAAAUCUAGACUCUCUGUCCCAAAUAUUAAUUUCAAAGAACUCUUAACAAGACUUAAAUGAUGAUAUAAAUCUAUAUGCCAAAAAAGUGCAAAAAAA
Molecule: long non-coding RNA, 631 nt
Organism: Lontra canadensis (Northern American river otter)
Lineage: Eukaryota; Metazoa; Chordata; Mammalia; Carnivora; Mustelidae
Exons: 2
Source: RefSeq, a predicted model, not a curated record